This 451-nucleotide ribosomal RNA is filed under the name uncultured bacterium. Its description in RNAcentral is "partial 16S ribosomal RNA". It matches the Rfam family "Bacterial small subunit ribosomal RNA", at positions 354 to 796 of the family's 1533-position model. The record is from RNAcentral.
GUGGGGAAUAUUGGACAAUGGGGGGAACCCUGAUCCAGCCAUGCCGCGUGUGUGAAGAAGGCCUUUUGGUUGUAAAGCACUUUAAGCGAGGAGGAGGCUACCGAGAUUAAUACUCUUGGAUAGUGGACGUUACUCGCAGAAUAAGCACCGGCUAACUCUGUGCCAGCAGCCGCGGUAAUACAGAGGGUGCAAGCGUUAAUCGGAUUUACUGGGCGUAAAGCGCGCGUAGGUGGCCAAUUAAGUCAAAUGUGAAAUCCCCGAGCUUAACUUGGGAAUUGCAUUCGAUACUGGUUGGCUAGAGUAUGGGAGAGGAUGGUAGAAUUCCAGGUGUAGCGGUGAAAUGCGUAGAGAUCUGGAGGAAUACCGAUGGCGAAGGCAGCCAUCUGGCCUAAUACUGACACUGAGGUGCGAAAGCAUGGGGAGCAAACAGGAUUAGAUACACUUGUAGUCC